GGUUUAAGGGGAUGAAUUAAUAGGAUAGGAUUAAUAAAAGAAUUUAAAGUUGUAGUAAGGUAUACUGGGAUAAUAAUUUAAAGGAAGUACCGUGAGGGGCACUUGAGAGAAACUUAAACCAGGAAGAAGAAGUAAUCUUAUGUACCUUUUGUAUCAGGGUUUAUCAAAUAAGAAGGAGAAUAUCUAAAUCUCGGUAUAAAGAGGGCUAACCGAAUAAUUUGGUUAAAGUGGCAAAUUUAUUUAUUAUGUUUGGUUAGGGGUGAAAUGCUAAUCGAGCUUUAAGGUAUCUAGUUUUUCAAGAAAUGAAUUUAAUUCAGGUAUCGUGUGUGGGGCUUUAUAAGGAGGUGUUAAGCAACGUGUUAUUAAAAUUUUAGGGGAUAAGCUCUAAUUUAUUUUAUAAAUGAAAAAUUCACGCAAGGAGGUAGGCCUAAAAGUAGCCACCAUAAGGAUAUUAUAAUUUAUCUUUGGGUAUGAGAAUUUUCUGGUUUUAAAUAGCUAUUGAAACAAUUUUGUAAAUGGAAAUCAAAAUGGGAUAAUGAUAAAAUUAGUAUUUGGGGAAAUUUUUAUUAAGGAAUUCGGCAAAUUUGUGCUCGCCUGUUUAUCAAAAACAUCGCCUUUGGAAAGAAUAUAAGGUCUUACCUGCCCACUGAUAGAUUUAAGGGCCGCGGUAUUUUGACCGUGCAAAGGUAGCAUAAUCAUUAGUCUCUUAAUUAGGGACUGGGAUGAAAGGUAGGACGAGGUACAAACUGUCUCCAUGGGAUAAGAGAAGUUAACUUUUUAGUUAAAAGGCUAAAAUGAAAUUAGAGGACGAGAAGACCCUAUAGAACUUUAUAAAUUAGAGUUAAGUUUUUAGAAAAUGUUUUACUUAGACUUAAGCUUUAUUACGUUGGGGUGAUGGGGUAAUAAAUUAACUUACCUUGAAAUUAACACGAUAGAUGAAUACGGGAUCCAUAUAUAAUGAUUAAAAGAUUAAGUUACCUUAGGGAUAACAGCGUAAUCCUUUUUGAGAGUUCAUAUCGAUAAGAGGGGUUGCGACCUCGAUGUUGGAUUAAAGGUAAUUUCAGGUGCAGCCGCUUGAAGUUGGGGUCUGUUCGACCCUUAAAACUUUACAUGAUCUGAGUUCAGACCGGCGCAAGCCAGGUCGGUUUCUAUCCUUAAUAAGAAGGAUAUUUUAGUACGAAAGGACCAAAUAUCGGAGAUAACUCUUUAUUAUAAGAAUAUU
This 1222-nucleotide ribosomal RNA is filed under the name Cincticostella fusca. Its description in RNAcentral is "16S ribosomal RNA". The stretch from base 495 to 1222 matches the Rfam family "Archaeal large subunit ribosomal RNA", at positions 1423 to 2805 of the family's 2987-position model. Lineage: Eukaryota; Metazoa; Arthropoda; Insecta; Ephemeroptera; Ephemerellidae. The record is from RNAcentral.